Long non-coding RNA from Zingiber officinale, 947 nucleotides. RefSeq lists it as uncharacterized. The transcript is spliced from 4 exons. Lineage: Eukaryota; Viridiplantae; Streptophyta; Magnoliopsida; Zingiberales; Zingiberaceae. The record is from RefSeq and is a predicted model, not a curated record.
AUUAAUAAGAAAUUUUUUCGAAAUUUUUGGAUAUUUUUCGGGAAUUUUUCGGAGCUCGUACGGACGAAUUAAUGGGGAUAAAAAAAAUGGGAUCCGGAAAAAUCUGUUUUGACUACCCUAUUCUAAAAAGGAAAUGUUUGAUUUUCUUCCUUUUUCUUUUAUUCUUUUUCUUAUUUCCUCCGUAGUUUUCUUUCUUCCUCCCCGCGUGUGCCGAACCCGAGCCCUAACUGCUCGGAACAGUUUCUCCUCCUCUUCAUUUCUUCUGCCCGAGCCGCUAACCCUUCUCCCCUCACCUCGCGACAGCGUCGGUUCUUCCGUCUCCUUCCCAGCGCCAAGCGCCGCCGAGUUUCCUCCUGCCGAGGCUGCGCCCUAGCUUCUCUGUCGUCCGCCGUCGUCGAACGGAGAGCACCGGCCACCCUUCCUCUGCCCUAGACAAACCCCAGCGCUGGCCGCCGUCAACUGUGCCCUAACGCCGGCCUCAUCUUCACUUUCUUCCCGAGCCGCCCCAUGCCCUAGCCUCUCCACCUCCGCACACCGCUGAGAGCCGACCCUUUCUUCUGCCUUGGGUUCUACCGAGCCUUCCUUUCUUCCUCUACCCUCUGCCCCAACGUCCACUGAUGAUGCCAAGGUCCAGCAACCUUCUGCCGUGCUUUAGACUCCACUGGCGGGUCUUCCUUCUUCGCCACCAGUCGUCGGCAGAGAGGAAACAGGGGGUGACGAGUAGCAGCCAACAGCCCUUAGCGGCGCAAUUUCCGCUAUCAACUCUUUGAUUCCAGUUCAAAACAGGGGCUGUGAAGUUAGGACUUGCUGUGGGGUUUUCUUGGUUCAGCAAUUUAAUCCAGUAGUUGUUUACAUUAGAUCCAACAGCAACUACAGUUGUGAAUUGAGGACUUUGACGCGAGACGAGUAUCUCGGAGUCAGAUUUGGAUCAUUUUAUCGGAGGCGAG